Molecule: long non-coding RNA, 1049 nt
Organism: Platichthys flesus (European flounder)
Lineage: Eukaryota; Metazoa; Chordata; Actinopteri; Pleuronectiformes; Pleuronectidae
Exons: 3
Source: RefSeq, a predicted model, not a curated record
GACUCGCUGCGAUGAAGUGAGACAGAGGCAACGUUAAAGUCACGUUGAAUUUAAGAACCUUAAUCUCAAUAACAAGUAUAUUUAACUGAACAUCUAAAAGUAUUUCUUCAUGCAGCUGGAUCGUAACGUGACAGCGUGUGUCUCCAUGUCCCACAACAAGGCCCAGGACACAUAUUGACACAGUGGAACAGCGGGCUGAGAUUAACCACACCGGUUAUGACCCUUUGAUUGGUGUUUGCUUCACUUAUUCUUAUUUACCUGGCAUCAACCCUGCACGUAUAAGUUACUGUGCAAAGAGAAUCAGCAGCAGAGGAAACCAAAAGCAGCAGCACUCUAACAACAGUAAGAUUCAUUUCUAUAGUGCAUAAGACAGAUCCAGCCCCACAGACACCUGGACUGACCGUGGAGCUCGUAGACCUGAGGCAGGUUGGGGAAGAUGCAGGCCAGCUCAUCAGAGUUCAGGACAGACCUCAUCUUCUGGAAGAAGACCUGGUCCAGGACCCUCAGGGUCCGCAGGUGGGACGCCUCUGUGGUGAACAGCUCUGGAGGCGAGGACACAGAGGGUGAGCAGGAGAGAAAACACUGAUUGAAGUCAUACCAUAUAUCACCGCCUGUCUGUCCACUUCCUUUGGGCUGAGCGUGGCGAGGAGCUGAGGAGACACCGUGUCCUGCCAGUUCUGACCGUCACACACCUCCUCCUCCAACGCCACGGCGUCCGGCAGCAGGGCCAGCGGUUUGUUUGAGACUGGAGCUUGAAGAGUUGUGCAUGUGGGAAAGAGGUGGACCGUCCUUCUCUCUGUUCCCUAUCACUUCAUCCCUGAUCAUCAGUUAACUGUGGACAUGGAGACUCACCUGCGUCGAGAGCGAGGCGUGUAUGGGGGUGUAGGGUUCUCUAGAGACCUGAGUUUGAGAGAGAGUGGAGAGAGCGGUGAUUGUUUGGGGGGUGAUUCGGUUUCUGAGCUGGACGCAUGUUGGAGCAUCAUCACGGAUCACCACAGAUGCUGCACAUGCCUCUUCUCUUUGAACACCAUCUUGUGAUCAUCAGUGAA